GACGUCACUUCCGACUGGAGCCAAGAUGGCGGCGGCGCGGCCGCGGGCGCCGGAGCCGGCGGAACAGCGGCGGCGGCGACGGCCCUAGUUGCUCUGAGGCGCGGGCGCGGGGUUCAUGUAAUCAAAGAAGUUUCUUUGUUGUGUGUAUCUUUACAGAACACAACAGGAAUUGAAAAUGAAUCAGAACACUACUGAGCCUGCGGUGGCCACUGAGACCCUGGCUGAGGUACCCGAACAUGUGCUGCGAGGUCUUCCGGAGGAAGUGAGGCUUUUCCCAUCUGCUGUUGACAAGACCCGGAUUGGUGUCUGGGCCACUAAACCAAUUUUAAAAGGCAAAAAGUUUGGGCCAUUUGUUGGUGAUAAGAAGAAAAGAUCUCAGGUUAAGAAUAAUGUAUACAUGUGGGAGGUAUAUUACCCAAAUUUGGGAUGGAUGUGCAUUGAUGCCACUGAUCCAGAGAAGGGAAACUGGCUGCGGUAUGUGAAUUGGGCUUGCUCGGGAGAAGAGCAAAAUUUAUUCCCACUGGAAAUCAACAGAGCCAUUUACUAUAAAACUUUAAAGCCAAUCGCGCCGGGCGAGGAGCUCCUGGUCUGGUACAAUGGGGAAGACAACCCUGAGAUAGCAGCUGCGAUUGAGGAAGAGCGAGCCAGCGCCCGGAGUAAGCGGAGCUCCCCCAAGAGCCGGAAAGGGAAGAAAAAAUCCCAGGAAAAUAAAAACAAAGGAAACAAAAUCCAAGACAUACAACUGAAGACAAGUGAGCCAGAUUUCACCUCUGCAAAUAUGAGAGAUUCUAUAGAAGGUCCUAAAGAAGAGGAAGAGAAGCCUUCGGCCUCAGCACUUGAGCAGCCGGCCAUCCUCCAGGAAGUGGCCAGUCAGGAGGUGCCUCCAGGACUAGCAACCCCUGCCCAUGCCUGGGAGCCACAGCCAGAACCAGAUGAGCAAUUAGAAGCAGCAGACUGUGAGGUGAAUGAUUUGGGGGAAGAGGAGGAGGAGGAGGAAGAGGAGGAGGAUGAAGAAGAAGAAGAAGAUGAUGAUGAUGAAUUGGAAGAAGAGGGGGAAGAAGAAGCCAGCAUGCCAAAUGAAAGUUCCAUGAAAGAGCCAGAAAUACGGUGUGAUGAGAAGCCGGAAGAUUUAUUAGAGGAACCAAAAACAAUUUCAGAAGAAAGUCUUGAAGAUUCCUCAGAGGUAACAUCUGCCGUGCAAAUCCCCAGAACUAAAGAAGAGGCCAAUGGUGAUGUAUUUGAAGCGUUUAUGUUUCCGUGUCAGCAUUGUGAGAGGAAGUUUACAACCAAACAAGGGCUUGAGCGUCACAUGCAUAUCCAUAUAUCCACGAUUAAUCAUGCUUUCAAAUGCAAGUACUGUGGGAAAGCCUUUGGCACACAGAUUAACCGGCGGCGGCACGAGCGGCGCCACGAAGCAGGGUUAAAGCGGAAACCCAGCCUAACACUACAGCCAUCAGAGGACCUGGCUGAUGGCAAAGCACCCGGAGAAAACGUUGCUGCAAAAGAUGAAUCAAGUCCUCCCAAUCUUGGGCAAGACUGUCUGAUCAUAAAUUCAGAGAAGCCUUCCCAAGACACAGUAAAUUCUUCUGUUGUAGAAGAGAAUGGGGAAGUUAAAGAACUUCAUCCAUGCAAAUAUUGUAAAAAGGUUUUUGGGACUCAUACUAAUAUGAGACGGCAUCAGCGUAGAGUUCACGAACGCCAUCUGAUUCCCAAAGGUGUGCGGCGAAAAGGAGGCCUUGAAGAGCCCCAGCCUCCAGCAGAACAGGCCCAGGCCACCCAGAAUGUCUAUGUACCAAGCACAGAGCCAGAGGAGGAAGGUGAAGCAGAUGACGUGUACAUCAUGGACAUUUCUAGCAAUAUCUCUGAAAACUUAAAUUACUAUAUUGAUGGUAAAAUUCAAACUAAUAACAGCACUAGUAACUGUGAUGUGAUUGAGAUGGAGUCAACUUCGGCAGAUUUAUAUGGUAUAAAUUGUCUGCUCACUCCAGUUACAGUGGAAAUUACUCAAAGUAUAAAGACCACACAGGUCUCUGUAACAGAAGAUCUUCCUAAAGAACCUUCAGGCAGUACAAAUAAUGAGGCCAAGAAGCGGAGAACCGCGAGUCCGCCUGCACUGCCCAAAAUUAAGGCUGAAACAGAUUCUGACCCCAUGGCCCCCUCCUGCUCCUUAAGUCUUCCUCUUAGCAUAUCAACAACGGAGGCAGUGUCUUUUCAUAAAGAGAAAAGUGUUUAUUUGUCAUCAAAGCUCAAGCAACUUCUUCAAACUCAAGAUAAACUAACUCCUCCUGUGGGGAUUUCAGCAACUGAAAUAGCCAAAUUAGGCCCUGUUUGUGUGUCUGCUCCUGCGUCAAUGUUGCCUGUGACCUCAAGUAGGUUUAAGAGGCGGACCAGCUCUCCUCCCAGUUCCCCACAGCACAGCCCUGCCCUUCGUGACUUUGGAAAGCCAAGCGAUGGGAAAGCAGUGUGGACUGAUGCAGUUCUGACUUCCAAAAAAUCCAAAUUAGAAAGUCAUAGCGACUCACCAGCAUGGAGUUUGUCUGGGAGAGAUGAGAGAGAAACUGUGAGCCCUUCAUGCUUUGAUGAAUAUAAAAUGUCUAAAGAGUGGACAACCAGUUCUGCUUUUAGCAGUGUGUGCAACCAGCAGCCAUUGGAUUUAUCCAGUGGUGUCAAACAGAAGGCUGAGGGUACAGGCAAGACUCUGGUCCAGUGGGAAUCUGUCUUAGAUCUCAGUGUGCAUAAAAAGCCUUGUAGUGACUCUGAAGGCAAGGAAUUCAAAGAAAAUCAUACAGUACAGCCUACUUGUAGUGCUGUAAAGAAAAAGAAACCAACCACUUGCAUGUUACAGAAGGUUCUUCUCAAUGAGUAUAAUGGCAUCGAUUUACCUGUAGAAAACCCUGCAGAUGUGACUAGGAGCCCAAGUCCUUGUAAAUCCCUAGAAGCUCAGCCAGAUCCUGACCUUGGUCCGGACUCUGGUUUCCCUGCCCCUACUGUCGAGUCCCCACCUGAUGUUUGUCCUUCAUCACCUGCCCUGCAGACACCUUCACUUUCUUCUGGUCGGCUGCCUCCUCUCUUGAUUCCCACAGAUCCUUCCUCCCCUCCACCGUGUCCCCCAGUAUUAACUGUUGCCACUCCGCCCCCUCCCCUCCUUCCUACUGUACCUCUUCCAGCCCCCUCUUCCAGCGCAUCUCCACAUCCAUGCCCCUCUCCACUCUCAAAUGCCACUGCACAGUCCCCACUUCCAAUUCUGUCCCCAACAGUGUCCCCCUCUCCCUCUCCCAUUCCUCCCGUGGAACCUCUGACGUCUGCUGCCUCACCUGGGCCUCCAACACUUUCUUCUUCCUCCUCUUCAUCUUCCUCCUCCUCUUCGUUCUCUUCUUCAUCUUCCUCCUCUUCUCCUUCUCCACCUCCUCUCUCCGCGAUAUCAUCUGUUGUUUCCUCUGGUGAUAAUCUGGAGGCUUCUCUCCCCAUGAUGUCUUUCAAACAGGAGGAAUUGGAGAAUGAAGGUCUGAAACCCAGGGAAGAGCCGCAGUCUGCUGCUGAACAGGAUGCUGUUGUUCAGGAAACAUUCAACAAAAACUUUGUUUGCAAUGUCUGUGAAUCACCUUUUCUUUCCAUUAAAGAUCUAACCAAACAUUUAUCUAUUCAUGCUGAAGAAUGGCCCUUCAAAUGUGAAUUUUGUGUGCAGCUUUUUAAGGAUAAAACGGACUUGUCAGAACAUCGCUUUUUGCUUCACGGAGUUGGGAAUAUCUUCGUGUGUUCUGUUUGUAAAAAAGAAUUUGCUUUCUUGUGCAAUUUGCAGCAGCACCAGCGAGAUCUUCACCCAGAUAAGGUGUGCACACAUCAUGAGUUUGAAAGUGGGACUCUGAGGCCCCAAAACUUUACAGAUCCCAGCAAGGCCCAUGUAGAGCAUAUGCAGAGCUUGCCAGAAGAUCCUUUAGAAACUUCUAAAGAGGAAGAGGAGUUAAAUGAUUCCUCAGAAGAGCUUUACACGACUAUAAAAAUAAUGGCUUCCGGAAUAAAGACAAAAGAUCCAGAUGUUCGACUGGGCCUCAAUCAGCAUUACCCAAGCUUUAAACCACCUCCAUUUCAGUACCAUCAUCGAAACCCCAUGGGGAUUGGUGUGACGGCCACAAAUUUCACUACACACAAUAUUCCGCAGACUUUUACUACUGCCAUCCGCUGCACAAAGUGUGGAAAAGGUGUCGACAACAUGCCUGAGCUGCAUAAACAUAUCCUGGCGUGUGCUUCUGCAAGUGACAAGAAGAGGUAUACGCCUAAGAAAAAUCCGGUACCAUUAAAACAAACUGUGCAACCCAAAAAUGGCGUGGUGGUUUUAGAUAACUCUGGGAAAAACGCCUUCCGACGAAUGGGACAGCCCAAAAGGCUAAACUUUAGUGUUGAGCUCAGCAAAAUGUCGUCGAAUAAACUCAAAUUAAAUGCAUUGAAGAAAAAAAAUCAGCUUGUACAGAAAGCAAUCCUUCAGAAAAACAAAUCUGCAAAGCAGAAGGCUGACUUGAAAAAUGCUUGUGAGUCAUCCUCUCACAUCUGCCCUUACUGUAAUCGAGAGUUCACUUACAUUGGAAGCCUGAAUAAACACGCUGCUUUCAGCUGUCCCAAAAAACCCCUUUCUCCUCCCAAAAAAAAAGUUUCUCAUUCAUCUAAGAAAGGUGGACACUCAUCACCUGCAGGUAGUGACAAAAACAACAGCAACCACCGCAGACGGACAGCGGAUGCGGAGAUUAAAAUGCAAAGCAUGCAGACUCCUUUGGGCAAGACCAGAGCCCGCAGCUCAGGCCCCACUCAAGUCCCGCUCCCCUCCUCAUCCUUCAGGUCCAAGCAGAAUGUCAAGUUUGCAGCUUCGGUGAAAUCCAAAAAACCAAGUUCCUCCUCUUUAAGGAACUCCAGCCCGAUAAGAAUGGCCAAAAUAACUCAUGUUGAGGGGAAAAAACCCAAAGCUGUGGCCAAGAAUCAUUCUGCUCAGCUUUCCAGCAAAACAUCGCGGAGCCUGCACGUGAGGGUACAGAAAAGCAAAGCUGUUUUACAAAGCAAAUCAGCCUUGGCGAGUAAGAAAAGAACAGACCGGUUCAAUAUAAAAUCUAGAGAGCGGAGUGGGGGGCCAGUCACCCGAAGCCUUCAGCUCGCAGCUGCUGCUGACUCGAGUGAGAGCAAGAGAGAGGAUGGCAGUGCCAAGCAGGAGCUGAAGGACUUCAGAUAGAUCAACCAAGUCUAAGAGAGGCAACAUCACUUGAAUUAUGUUCCGCAGCUACAAGUGGGGACCCCAAACCCAGCCAUCUGAUUCCAGAGCUAAGUUCAACUCCAACUAAAACCCAACUGCUCUUGGGUUUUAGUCUUGAAUGUACCUAACUGUUGUGUCCCCGACAUGACAUGCUGAUGGCCAGAGAGCAGUUUUGCUGUGGAGAUGGUGUGUGUAGGACCACAAGAAAAACAUGGGCAUUGAGUGCCUAUCCAUCUGGAUGUUCAUUACCUGGGUACUGUCAGUUACUGAGAGGCAUGGCACGCUGCUGGCUGAGUUGCAGCUUCCUGGCCUGCAGCGAAGCUCUGUGCCGCCUACCUGCCAUGUGCUGUGCACAUUACAGGAGGUACCAUGUGUUCCCAGUGAGGAUCCAGUGGCCGAUGGCUGUGGUGGCCUGGUGGUUACCAUGGACAUCAGGUGCUCAAGUCCUCACAGAAACAGACCUAGGGAGGCACCGCUGAGGAAACUGCCAGGUCUUAGUAGCCUGCCCCGGGUGGAAAGGGGCAGCAUGUGGUGAACUUGGAUGAUGAUCACGAAAGAACUUGUGGGAGAGACUGUUGCAGAAACGACUCACUUCUCAAAAGCCCUGAAAGAGAAAGUCCUUCGUGGAAACCGAGAAACAUUUCUAUUCAUUUCAUGAGUGGGUGGUUCUAUCCUUCAGUGAGGCUAGAGCUUUUGUGAGAAUUUUUAGAACACCCGUGAAGGCUCCAAGAAUGAUCUAUUUUCUGCCUAGGCAAGUGUGGAGCGGUUGAGCCACAGCUCGUAGAGAGUAUAGAGCAGGGAUGCCCAAUCUUUUGGCUUCUUUGACCCAUGAUGGAAAAAUUAUCUUAGGCCACACAUAAAAUACAGUAACACUAACGAUAGCUGAUGAGCUAAAGAAAAAAAAAACGCAAAAAAACUUCAAUGUUUUCAGAAAAUUUACGAAUUUGUGUUGGGCUGCAUGUUGGACAAGCUUGGUGCCUGGGCUCUGGGCAUUCAUUCUCCUGGGAUCCUGGAGCCUUUCUCGGUCUCAGACCAGGGCCCCUCGUAGUAGCAAAGGAAGUCAAGACAGAGCUUCAGUUCAGCCUGGCCUGCCGUGAUUACAUAAGAAUGGAAAUACAAAGUUCAGAAUUUCCGGAAGGCCACUUGCAUUCCGUAGGAGAUGGCGAGGUGCAGGCCAGCACUGGCCUGGGUUGAGGUUCUACUGUGAUUUCAUGACAGGCAGCAGAAUGUAGGUAAGGGCAUCGGCUCUGGACCUGGAAGUCUGAUCAGCUGGCACCUUCUCCAAGAAGCCUUUCCUGACCAUUGAUCUGCCACACUGCCCGGUCCCUCAUCCCUCUUCUUGUUGUGCUUCACUGUUGGAAGACCCUCAAGCCUUCUGUACUUUCUGUUGUGGACUCAUUAGGUUUGUCUGCUCUAUGAUCUCUCCCUUCUUGGAUGAGAGUUCUACCCAGGCAGGAACUUUUUCUUCACUGCUGCAUUCCCAGCAUCUAUUAAAAGAACGGAGCCUGGCAUGUAGUAGUUGCUCAAUAAAUAUUUGUUGAAUGAAUAAAAGAUUUGAAUUGUGGCUCUGUCAUGUAUAGUUCCGUAAGCUUAACCUAUGCAAGCUACUCAGCCUCUCUGAGCCCCAGUUUUCCUGUCUGUGAAAUGGGGAGAAUCAAUCUGACCACGAAGGAUUGCCACAAAGACUUUAGAGGAGCCUGUAAGGGCCACUGAUGCUGUCCACCCUAGCGAGUGCUGUCCACAUCAGCUGCUGUCAGCAUCACUGUUACGAUUGAAUGAUGUCCUCUCUAAUCUCAGUUUGAAUCUGAUGAGAAGUUGAGCCUGGCAUGCCACGUAUAAGAUUUCAUGACAGCAUGUGUUGCAGUGGCCAGAACAUUCCCUCAUUAUCUCCUGCCUCUGCCCAGAGAGAAAGCUCUCGAGUGGCCUGUAACUCCUGGUUUGGCCACCACUGACACCGGGGGCCUUUGCUGUGUCUUUGCCAGGCCAGAGCUGCUUCCUUUUUAUAGCAGGUGCUCCUACCCAUCAGAACUAAAGAAAAGUGAGCUGUAAGACAGGAAAUCAUUUUUCAAUUCAAAGGGAGAAAAAAGGUGAUUCAUUCUUAUUCUAUCACCUUUCCCUGUAACUUUCUAUUUCCCUUGGUUUUGAUUUUCAAAACCAAAUGUCAGUUUUUAAAAGGUAAGUUCAGAAGAAAGCAUUUCAUUAGCUCUGUAAAACCAUGAAGACCAAAUAACCUCAAUUUGCUGAAACCGUAAUAAUGUAAGGGUGAUCCCCAAUAAUUUGCUCGCUGGCCACGAUGUUAAGGAAGGGCUUUCCAUAUAUUACCUCAUUUAAUCUUCAAAAGAACCCUAUGAAUACUUUUAUGUUCUGCCAUUUUACAAAUGGGGAAACUGAGGCACAGGGAAGUCAAGCGAUUUGCCUGAAGUCACAGAUGGUAGGAGGUGGAGCCAGGAGUCAAGUACAGGCAGUCUAACUCAUCUCUUUUAAUCACAAGUCUGUUCUACCUCUCAUCUGCGGUUCUGGGAGUGAGGAGGUAGAAGGGAGCCCCUGGUCAUGCCUCUGUGGCUUCUUCUAGUGGCAUCUCCUUUAAGCAGCAGUGAACGUGACUUAGCACCUGCCAGAGUGUGGACAAGAAGUACCAGCUGAUUUGAAGGAGCUGAAAAGUGUGGUGGGGGUGAAUGGAUGUCUUUGUCCUUCCUGGGAUGAACCCAUUUUGCAUGUCCAAGGUUUCAGCUAGGCCUCUGUGUGUGUUUACCAGGAAUGGAGCCUUAUCUACCCAGCUUUGUUAAGGAAGGAGCAUAUCUAGAUACUGACCAGCCCAGAGGAUGGAUGAGCUUUACUCCCUCAGGUCAACUUUCCCUCCCUGUAUUUUCACGGAAGUCUCUCCAAGCCACGGUUGAUAAGUAGGUUUACAUCCAGUUGCCCAGGGUGCUGCAUGGAACUGGCUUUUCAUGCUCACGGGAAGAGGGCUGGCUAAGUGACCCGGGCUGCCUUGUGUGCAGGAAGGUGGGUGGUUCUGCAGUGCCAGGUAUUUGCUGCCUGUGGUCUCAUUGUGUCUGCUGCUUUUCCGCUUUUUAAAACUACACUGGACUCCAUUUCACCCUUUUUUGAAGGUUCAAGGUCAAGGUAACCAUCAAUGAAUACUUUGUUGUAGAAAAGAUGAUUCUGGCCUAUAGGAGAUCCUGACCCCACACUAGAGAAUCCAGAAGCUUGAGAUGUGACUUUUGAGAAGAGUGUAACUCCUCAGAUCUCCUCUUCCAUCUGUCAUUCAUGGAUAUUGUCUGCACCUCCUGUCAUCCUUCAGAUACGCUUCUGUGAAUUGUCUGUGGGCUGGGAAGCUAGAUUGUGGUCCUGUUAAUAUCAUAUAUAAACAAAGAAAUGGUAGGCCUUGAGAGAUCUCUCAAGGACCUUCCUUAUAAACAAAGUGCAUUAAUUCCAGAACAUGGAUUUUGGGACAUGGUUUGAUCACUCAUUAACAGUAAGUCUUGACCAGAUGUGGUGACUCACACCUGUAAUCCCAGCGUUUCGUUCGGGAGGGUGAGGUGGGAGGAUCAUUUGGAACUCAUGAGUUCAAGACCAGCCUGGGCAACAUAGUGAGACAUCCCCCCACCCAUCUCUACAAAAAAAAACUAGCCAGGCGCAGUGGCACACACUUGUAGUCCUAGCUACUCAGGAGGCUGAGAUGGGAGGAUUGUUUAAGCCCAGGAAGCCAAGGCUGCAGUAAGCUGUGAUCGCACCACUGUGUUCCCGCCGGGGCAACAGAGUGAGACCCUGUCUCCAAGAAAGCCAAAAACCAAAACACAAUAGAUUUUGGCUCUUGGUUCUGUGCUGGUAAGUGAUGUUGGUGGGACAAGUGAUCUAGACAGGAGAGUAUUAAGUACAACAUAUAUAUAAUGAACUGCUUUUUUUCUUUUAAGCUCCCAAAACACAUGAAUUACAUAAAUGAUUUGUGGAGGUAAUGAAACAAAAGUUUGGGUAAAAGUGCAAUCAGUUCCUUUCUCACCACAUAUUUGUUGCCAGGUGAAGUAGUUUAGUUCUGAAACAAAAUGUUUCCUUCUCUUUACCAUCCUAUGUCCUUUAAUUUAUGUUUAGAAUAAGUAAUUGAUGCCAAGUGGUUUGACUCUGGAUAGUUUUAGAGAGCUGGCCCUUACAAACUCAUGGAAGUACCCGUAGUUCACUACCUUUAGCAGAGAUUGAUGAACCUACCCAUGAAAUGGAUUUCUCUUCUGAUUCAGGAUGUCACUCAGGAAUUGUCUUGGAAUUUCUCUGUCGCCAAUAUAUAUGUUUACAGGUGUGAGUUUUAUACUCUUACUGUCUUCAUUCUUAUGCUAGGCUCCUGUGAUUGAAUUUUAUGAGCAAGUUUAGUGAAAAAAAUCUGCGUUAACUUUGCCUUCACGUAGGAGCCCACCAUUGGACAGACCUCAAUGAAUUGGUGUCAGAUAUCGUGGUUGAAAUAUACGCCGUGCCAAAUUAUUUCAACAUAUAAUUAACGAUAGGUUUAUAUCCUUUGAAAGUAUUUUUAACAAUUACAGACACAGCCCAUGCGUGCCCGCUAACAGCAGGUGUUUUAGGAAGGUGGUGGUCUGAGUUGUGUAUGGCACAUGGCGAGGUAAGGGCAUUUUGUGGUUCAGUUUGCGUUGUUAAUUACAGCUUGAAGUGCCAUUUCCUGCCUAUUCCUGAGUGUGUGCGUUUCCUGCCUGUGUUCCUGGGUGUGUGAUGGGGUCCCAGUUUGGAUUAUCUCCCCAGGAUGUUUGCUCAGUGGACCACCUACAUUAAAAAAUAACCUGGGUGAUUAAAAGUUUCAGACCUACUCAACCAUAAUCCCUGGUGGUGGGACUUUGAAAUCUUCAUUUUUAUCAGCUUGUCAAAUGAGUCUUAUCCAGACUUCAGAGGGCUUUUAGAGUAUUUUUUUUUUAAAUGACAUGGUAUCACUCAUCACGUAAUUUCUUCUGAUUUUAAUUUUAAAUUCUUUUCCUUUGCUUGUUUACCAUCUCUUUGAUAUACUUACAUCAGGUUUCAACUCUCAGAACACUUUCAAUUAUGUUUUUCUUUAAUUCUUUUUUUUUUUUUUUGAGACGGAGUUUUGCUCUUGUUACCCAGACUGGAGUGCAAUGGCACGAUCUCGGCUCACCGCAACCUCUGCCUCCUGGGUUCAAGCAAGUCUCCUGCUUCAGCCUCCCGAGUAGCUGGGACUACAAGCACGCACCAACAUGCCCAGCUAAUUUUUGUAUUUUUAGUAGAGACAGGGUUUCACCUUGUUGAUCAGGAUGGUCUCGAUCUCUUGACCUCGUGAUCCACCCGCCUCAGCCUCCCAAAGUGCUGGAAUUAUAGGUGUGAGCCACCGCGCCCGGCCGUUUUUCUUUAAUUCUUUUUUUUUUUUUGAAAAGGAGUUUCGCUGUUGUUACCCAGACUGGAGUGCAAUGGCACGAUCUCGGCUCAUGCCCAGCUAAUUUUUGUAUUUUUAGUAGAGAUGGGGUUUCACCUUGUUGACCAGGAUGGUCUCGAUCUCUUGACCUCGUGAUCUACCCACCUCGGCCUCCCAAAGUGCUGGUCUUUAAUUCUUAUAACAACCUAAUGACAGAUGAUGAGUCGGGGCAGUGCAGGGGCGAGUGUCGUAGGUAAGAGGGAGCUGGAGAUUCACCAGCACAGUGUCCUGCAUGUGUGCAUUCACCUGCACCCAGCUGUAGCCCUGAGCAUGUGGCCAGAACUCAGUAUUUGUGGAAGAAAAAGAAAUCUUGAAGGAUAAUAGAGCCAAAGCUAGCACUCUGCCUCAGUGACCUACUUAUCUGACCUGAACUCAUGACCUCUUGGUUUAAAAUGGGAAUCUUGGGGCAAUUAACUGCUGGUGAUUGAUUAGAGAAUGUCCCAUCCAUAGGUAAAUGAUCCAUUAAAAUCAAGUCAAAAGAAAAGGCUGGUGAUAGCUAAUUAGAAUCAGUGUUACUGCCUCAGGGCAUAGUCCUUAAGGUUAAGAAUGCAUAAGGAGGCUGGGGCAGUGGCUCAGGCCUGUAAUCGCAUCUCCUUGGGAGGCCGGGGUGUGGGGUGGGGUGGAUCUCGAAGUCAGGAGUUCAAGACCAGCCUGGCCAAUAUGGUGAAACCCUGUCUCAAAAAAAAAAAAGUGUAAGGAAAGCCAAUCAAUAAGCCAUGGAGACCAGCAGAAAAUUGUGUGCCAGAAGCCCAGUACAGCACAGUUUGUUCAUUCAAAGGUAUUGGUGGAAUUACGGUCUUCCCCUCCCAGUCUGCACUGGUGCAUACAUCAAAGAUUUGAGUUCUUUGACCAUGACUGAACAUCCUGAACUUCAUGGGGUAGCACUCUUCAAAUAUGCCUUCAAAUUUCUAGGUUCUUUUUUCCCAAUUUUUGGACCUGAAAAUAGUCACUCUUUCUGUGGUUCCAAGCUUGAAUUCUGUCUCCUGACAUUUGACAUCUCCUCAGAGGUGUCCUUCUCCGGUAAAGCCUCCCAAAAUACACAGCAAUGGAUGACUUUCCUUGCGUGUUUUCUUAUUUUUGCUCAAUAUAACGAAUCUUCUUCUUAGGGUUUAAACACUGAUGGGAUUCUUGGUGCCAUAUGCUUUGAAUGGGCUGCGUUGAACAAAGCUGUUCCAAAAACUGGAUCUGCAACACAGUAUCGCUUGCCUUGGAGAUUCCUCCACCACCCUCAUGAGUCAGAGCUGCUGGGUAAUGUGAUCCAGGCAGGCGGAUCAAAGGGUAACAAACACGAGCACUCGAAGCAAACACAGAGGUCUCCGCCGCUCAAGUCCGGCCUAUUCACCAUUGCCUAAGGAAGAACAGAGAAUUCAGAUUUGUGGGCCCCGCGCGGUGGCUCAAACCUGUAAUCCCAGCACUUUGGGAGGCCGAGGCGGGUGGAUCACGAGGUCAAGAGAUUGAGACCAUCCUGGUCAACAUGGUGAAACCCCGUCUCUACUAAAAAUACAAAAAAUUAGCUGGGCACGGUGAUGUGUGCCUGUAAUCCCAGCUACUCAGGAGGCUGAGGCAGGAGAAUUGCCUGAACCCAGGAGACGGAGGUUGCGGUGAGCCGAGAUCGCGCCAUUGCACUCCAGCCUGGGUAACGAUAACGAAACUCUGCCUCAAAAAAAAAAAGAUUUGCAAGGACAUUUUGUAAAGCACAGGGCCUUGGAGAGUGGGAUGGGCCCAGAAAUCCUUCUGAACUUUUGUUGGAACACCAACUGUGGAAUAAACAUACAGGUGGGACCCAACUGACUUCAGUUUGACCAACCCACCAUACUAAUGCACUCUCUCCAUUGCCUCUGGAAAUCCUGACUGCUGCUCACGGGGAGAGCCUGUGUGCUUCCAUUCCAACAGCUAAGUCAAAGGCGUGCCAAAGCUACAGCCUCCGCUUGGCGUCCCGAUGCCCUCCACCAGCCGCCCCGUACGUCACCAGGCAGUGUAGGAAGGUCAAGGCCCCGGCUGCAGCCCAGUUCCAGGGACCAUUCUUCAAAGAGUAAACACCCUGCCUGCUCCCU
Non-coding RNA from Callithrix jacchus (white-tufted-ear marmoset), 12712 nucleotides. Lineage: Eukaryota; Metazoa; Chordata; Mammalia; Primates; Cebidae. The record is from RefSeq and is a predicted model, not a curated record.